GUCAAAAGCCAUGAAAAGAUUCACGAGGAAUCACAGCAUUAUAUCUGGCAGUCUGUUUUGAUCCUUAAAGGGAAGUCAAAAUGAAUGAUCUGAAUGCCCGAAGGGAUCAAAUGAAUAUUAGAGCAGCUGGAAAUGGUGGAGAUGAUAAAUGUAACUGGAACUGGCCUCUGCUGAUUUCACUGUCUGGCUUAGCAUUGUACCAAUGGUUCACGCACAGGAGAAUAAGAAAUGAAAUGGAUUGCUUGAGGAGAAGCAUUGAGAAAGAUAGAAGGGAGGACAAAGCAAUGGUUGUGAUUCACGAGAUCCGCAGGUUGUUACAUGCUAGACAAGACAUCAUUUGUAGCAAUACUGUCCCAUAUUUUGCUCAGCGGACCAGGGAGCAAGAGUUAUCCAGCAUGGCCUCCAGUGACCCUAUAGCACAUCAACUCAAUAUAAAAGCUGAUCUCCUCAAGAUCUUCCAGCAUCCUGAACCCUGCUCAAGAGCCACAAUAAACACAUGUGUUGAAGACUGGCAGAGAAAACUUAAGGGUUUACUUGAAAAUGAGCAAAAAUAGAUUGCCACACAGUUUUAUAAUAAU
Molecule: long non-coding RNA, 578 nt
Organism: Sinocyclocheilus grahami
Lineage: Eukaryota; Metazoa; Chordata; Actinopteri; Cypriniformes; Cyprinidae
Exons: 3
Source: RefSeq, a predicted model, not a curated record